UACGUAGGGGCCUAGCGUUGUCCGGAAUUAUUGGGCGUAAAGAGCUCGUAGGCGGUUCGGCAAGUCGGAUGUGAAAUCUCCACGCUUAACGUGGAGGGGCCAUUCGAAACUGCUGUGACUCGAGUCCGGUAGGGGAGUGUGGAAUUCCCGGUGUAGCGGUGAAAUGCGCAGAUAUCUGGAGGAACACCGGUGGCGAAGGCGGCAUCCUGGACCGACAUUGACGCUGAUCCGCGAAAGCCAGGGGAGCGAACGGG
RNAcentral lists this ribosomal RNA (254 nucleotides) under uncultured bacterium. RNAcentral's name for it is "partial 16S ribosomal RNA". It matches the Rfam family "Bacterial small subunit ribosomal RNA", at positions 524 to 776 of the family's 1533-position model. The record is from RNAcentral.